AUUGAACGCUGGCGGCAUGCCUUACACAUGCAAGUCGAACGGUAACAGGCCUUCGGGUGCUGACGAGUGGCGAACGGGUGAGUAAUGCAUCGGAACGUACCCAGAGGUGGGGGAUAACGCAGCGAAAGCUGUGCUAAUACCGCAUGUGAUCUGAGGAUGAAAGCGGGGGACCGCGCAGCAAUGUUUGGCCUCGCGCCUUUGGAGCGGCCGAUGUCGGAUUAGCUAGUUGGUGGGGUAAAGGCCUACCAAGGCGACGAUCCGUAGCUGGUCUGAGAGGACGACCAGCCACACUGGGACUGAGACACGGCCCAGACUCCUACGGGAGGCAGCAGUGGGGAAUUUUGGACAAUGGGCGCAAGCCUGAUCCAGCAAUGCCGCGUGCGGGAAGAAGGCCUUCGGGUUGUAAACCGCUUUUGGCAGGAACGAAACGGUGUCCGCUAAUACCGGGCGCUAAUGACGGUACCUGAAGAAUAAGCACCGGCUAACUACGUG
RNAcentral lists this ribosomal RNA (492 nucleotides) under uncultured bacterium. RNAcentral's name for it is "partial 16S ribosomal RNA". It matches the Rfam family "Bacterial small subunit ribosomal RNA", at positions 29 to 507 of the family's 1533-position model. The record is from RNAcentral.